Molecule: ribosomal RNA, 425 nt
Filed under: uncultured bacterium
Lineage: Bacteria
Description: bacterial SSU rRNA
Rfam family: Bacterial small subunit ribosomal RNA
Source: RNAcentral
GAAUAUUGGACAAUGGGGGAAACCCUGAUCCAGCCAUGCCGCGUGUGUGAAGAAGGUCUUCGGAUUGUAAAGCACUUUAAGUUGGGAGGAAGGGCGUCAAGCUAAUACCUUGAUGUUUUGACGUUACCAACAGAAUAAGCACCGGCUAACUCUGUUCCAGCCGCCGCGGUAAUACAGAGGGUGCAAGCGUUAAUCGGAAUUACUGGGCGUAAAGCGCGCGUAGGUGGUUCAGUAAGAUGGGUGUGAAAUCCCCGGGCUCAACCUGGGAACUGCUUUCAUAACUGCUGAGCUAGAGUACGGUAGAGGGUAGUGGAAUUUCCUGUGUAGCGGUGAAAUGCGUAGAUAUAGGAAGGAACACCAGUGGCGAAGGCGACUACCUGGACUGAUACUGACACUGAGGUGCGAAAGCGUGGGGAGCAAACAGG